RNAcentral lists this long non-coding RNA (1951 nucleotides) under Anas platyrhynchos platyrhynchos (common mallard). Its description in RNAcentral is "lncRNA (ENSAPLG00000022414.1)". The record is from RNAcentral. Lineage: Eukaryota; Metazoa; Chordata; Aves; Anseriformes; Anatidae.
GCUUGUGAGAGAUUACAGACUUUGAGCAUAAAGUUGCCAAAGUGCUUACAAUUGACAUCAAAUACAAGGCAAAGUGCCAUUAUGAAAAUGAAUGUCUGCUAAGAUAAAGUGUUUGGGAGACUGCAAAGGACUUGUGCUGAGAUACACUGAACAAUGAGGAAGUGAGGCAACAUCCAUGUUCCAUAUGAAAAGAUUGUCCCUUUCUGACUGCAGACUACAGGAAGAGGGAUUAUUCCAAAAUGAAGGCUCAGUGAACCCAGGCUUUCAACUACUUCUUUGAGGCCUUCCUCAGCAGGCAGUGCAGGAUGCUGCCAGCCACAUCCCCAUAUUAGCACAAGAAGAUACUCCAAAAAGUACUUCACAAACAGGAAUGAUGUGCAGAGUUCCUUGUGCUCCAGACAUAGCCUGGGGUCAGAUCCAUGGCUACAGUACUGGAUCUCAUCUCAAGAGCAACUCAGGUAUGCUCCACCUAAACAGAGCAUGGAGAGCUCUUGUCAUUUUGGAAACUGCACACCAGACUGUGGUACAGAAGGACCACACCUUUGUCUCUUCUACAGGAAGAACAAAGUUUUAAAAAGCAUCCCUGACGUUCCCUGGUUCAAUUGCUCACCUACUGUACAGUUGAGUGAACACUUAAGGAAGUUGCAAAGCAAUGCAGCCUGUCUGGGACAUGAAGGAAUGUAGAGCGGGAUAAUCACAACAUCAUCAACCCAAUUCUCCAAGCCAGCUCACUAAGCUACCCCGUGCUCAUUAAGGCUUCUGCUUUGCUAAUCAACGAUUGUACAUGUCAUCAUCAGGUAUAUGCUGAAAUGAAAGUGUCGUAAUUAAAAACAAAGGUGCAUGAGUCAUCGGAGACCUGAAUUACUAACUAGCAGCAAAGCAUAACAAAUAGUCUGCAAGUCAAUUCCAAAUCUGCAGGGCUGCUUUUUUAAAUCACGCAUUAACGAGCGUGUGCCAAGCAUAUUUCUGAUUCUGAGAACGCUGUCCUGAUCUUGCACUCUGAACUACGCAUCUUAGCAGCAUACUGCCAUCCUCUUGUCCUUAAAUGUUGAGCAGCAGCAGCAAAAUCCUCAGCAGCAGAAGCAGCUGAAAGGCAAAUGCAGUCUGGGAGGGCAAGACAGCAGAGACAGCCCAUCAACAGCGUAACAACAUGACAGAUGACAGACCCAGAGGCAAAUCCAGGCCUGCCAGCAGAUCAGCCUGUAGAGCCUGCCAAAUAGCCAGAUGCAGCUACUGAAAAGAUAUCAUCCUUAGCUUAGCAUCUGGGUCUUGCUGUGGCCAACCAUACUUCAUGCGCUCUGUGUCCUUACUGCUGACCCCAGCUGCUGGGGGAGGCUGGAGCAAGCAGGAAGAGUGUGACUGCAUCAACACCAGUGCAUUUAAAUUUUGCUAGGACAAACAUCAUGACUAUAAAAAGUGUCAAUUUGUGCACAGUAUAACUAUCAAUUUGCAUUUAUUGCAGGUUUCCUGGCAGUAUGACUACACUGUUCCCCCUCCCCCACUGUCUCUGAGAAAAAGGCAGCUCAGGGAUUCAUUCUUUGUUUGCCAUUCCCACUCAGAAAUACCCAUUUAGCUACUACACCAUCUAGCAGAAGCAACAGUACACUGUAAAUCUGUGCAUAAUUAAGCCCUGGUGUAGAGAUCCUGCUGUCCUUUUUUUCUGGAUAGGUGCAACUCUUCUGGAACGCCGAGAAGUCUAAUUCACCAGCAUUUCACAGGGCUUGGCUUCUAGUAUUACACAUCAAAAAAAUCUUUGUCAAGUGACUGGUGUGACAAUUAAAGUGACAACUAAUGAUAUGGCACCACGGAAAAGAUAAUUACACCCAUUGUUAGACACUUACCAGGUCAGGAUACAUUCACAGCCUUUCAAAAGUGGCACUCAUUCGUUCACCCCAGCAUCCUAUUCCGAUGGUAAUAGUGUAUUAAUAAAGUCAUCAUUUUUCCUUCUACA